Molecule: long non-coding RNA, 400 nt
Organism: Prosopis cineraria
Lineage: Eukaryota; Viridiplantae; Streptophyta; Magnoliopsida; Fabales; Fabaceae
Exons: 2
Source: RefSeq, a predicted model, not a curated record
UCAGCUAUUGUUCCCAGUUCAACACAACCCACUUUCCGAUUCCCUCAGAAUCACCAAGAAGAUUCGAAGAGAUGACCCCAACUGAUCUGAUUUGGUUCUCAAAAACUACAUGCUCCAUGGUUUCCAUGUGUACUAAUAAGGUUGGACUUCUCUAUAUAACUCUCCUGGACUUCUGGUGUUUAAAUUAUGACGCUUGGUGAUUUGGGAUGUGCAUGACAAAGAGAGUUGCGUAGAACGUACUAACUAUCAUGGGGGUGGUCAGGAGUUGAAUCCCCAGACCGGUGAACAAUUUAGAAGAUCUUCGCUCACUUGAUGUAUAUUUUAUGAUAAUUAUGAGUUAUUAGCUGUAACUUUCUCCUUAAUGAUAAACCACUUGAUCUCCGGAGAGUUUUCACUUCUC